RNAcentral lists this ribosomal RNA (482 nucleotides) under uncultured bacterium. RNAcentral describes it as "partial 16S ribosomal RNA". It matches the Rfam family "Bacterial small subunit ribosomal RNA", at positions 28 to 507 of the family's 1533-position model. The record is from RNAcentral.
GACGAACGCUGGCGGCGUGCUUAACACAUGCAAGUCGAACGAUGAAGAAGAGAAACGCGAACUUCGGUUCAAAUUUCACUUCGGAUUAGUGGCAGACGGGUGGGUAACGCGUGAGCAACCUACCUCUUACAAAGGGAUAGCCUCGGGAAACCGUGAUUAAUACCAUAUGACACCUUCAUAAGGCAUCUUAAGAAUGUUAAAGCUACGGCGGUAAGAGAUGGGCUCGCGUCCCAUUAGCUAGUUGGUGAGGUAACGGCCCACCAAGGCGACGAUGGGUAACCGGCCUGAGAGGGUGAACGGUCACAUUGGAACUGAGACACGGUCCAAACUCCUACGGGAAGCAGCAGUGGGGAAUAUUGCACAAUGGAGGGAACUCUGAUGCAGCGACGCCGCGUGAGCGAUGAAGGAAUUCGUUUCGUAAAGCUCUGUUCUAUGGGAAGAAAAGGACUGUACCAUAGGAGAAAGCCCCGGCUAAAUACGUG